AUAGAAAUAAAUACAAAUUGCGUUAAAGAAAAGAGAAGGAAAUGGGUUUUGAAACAAGCUAACAUUCCAUUACAAACUUUUCUCCAAUGUACAAAUCAGAGAGCCAGAACACCUACGUAGUUCUUUAGAAAACAGCUUUACUUCUGAACUAGUGCGAGCAGAACCAGGAAUGCAGGCUUUCAGCGAGAGGAAACUAAAAGAAUGAAUAUGUUCCUUGGAUAAUUCAGAUCAACGGAAAAAACAUUGUUGGAUAUUCCAGGUAAUAUACAGUAGGUCUGGCUGAUCAGAAAGGGAAGGGAGGAUGGAAAAAGCACCUAUACAGAUAAUUUAUGGAUGUUAAACUGGCUGGUUCUUAUGCCAUUUUGCCAUUUUGUGAAAUGGUUUAUGACAGCUUGAGGGCUUGGGCAAGUACAUUUUCUAUUGCCAGUAUGGCAACAUUACUUAGGCACUCUUCACCAAUCCUGCUCCACAAAUAGGUCUUAAUUUGCCGCGGGCACAAAAUGUUCAUUGACAGCCAGCACUUGAUGGUAUUGUGACAGCAAUGGUGCACCGUCUUUGUUCACUGAGAGACAUAUUCAGUUCUUCGGGAAUAUUAAGCACUUGGUUCACUCUGACAAUUUUUAUUUCUCUCUCUUGCUCAUGCCUCUUUACAACUUUUGGAAGCAGUUUGAGUUCCUAUUGCUGCUUUAAUGCCUUGCAAAGUGUCUGAGUUUUUCAGGAGCAAGAAAGAAAAUGGCACUUGGAACUGAAACCAUUAAGCACAUUAAAACGCUGCCAUUGUCUAUAAAUUUCUGUCUGUCUUUCAGCUUAUCAGAGUUUGUUUUCCUUUACUCUGUUCUCCUCUAUCCACUCUGUACUACUAUCCACUCUGUACUACUUGUUUUUCAAGUCAGUCUCUUCAGUUUCUUCACCACUCUGCCAUUCUCCCAAUCUCUCUUACAAACAAUCCCUCACCAACAGACCUUCCAUUUUCUGUUCUCUCCAUUCUAUGCCCCUCUCCUUCACACAGCUUGUGUUCCAAGACCCUUAUGAGCAGGCAUGGCACACUUCCUUCUCUUUGAAUGAUACACAUUUCCAUGUGCCUUGCAUGGUUGCAUUAGUUCCCUUAAUCUAUGCAGGACCGUACAUUAUUAUACCUGCUCGCCCAGUUUCCCCAACCCAAGACAUUCCUCAACCAGCCUCUUGGGUGGAAUGCGUUUGUUGGUCCUUUCAGAACACUUAUAUAUCUGCUGCCUUGAUUCUGGCACUGAGUCAAAAUUAACCAGGCCUACUUUCCACCCCUGCCUGCUUUGUGAGUACUCCAAACUGUUGCAUUUGUAUUAAUUAAACUCUAAUACUAAACUCAGUAUUAAUUAAACUCUAAUAUUCACAGACCCAAUUCUCUGUAUAAAGUCUCCCCUUUCCAGCUUCCAUGACUAGUACAACAUCCAUGUUUUCCAAACUGCCAUGAUUCUAGUAGCAAUCAAAACGUAGGGUCAGAAAGUACAGAAUCACUUCCAAAGGAGCUAUACUGGGUACCUGAGUCUGAUGCUGCUGGCCAGGGGGUCACUAAAUCCAAGGCUGGAGGGCAUGAACCCCUUUCAAAGCCACAUCCCACAGUACCAGGGACCAUAGAGCCAGAGCCAGGACCUUCACAGUUGCCUUUCCUUGGGUCUGUGCAACCAAGUGCCUCCCAACCUACCUUGCUGGUCUACUAGUGCAGGUAGUGUCCCAGGUAGAAUGCCAAGGGAGCACAGAAGAGCUGCACAUCUGUGGGCCAGAGGUUGACUCUUUAUGGACUGCUGGUUGCACACAGGAGACUAGGAGAGGUAGACGGCAGGCAGUGGCUCAAAAGGCCUCAUUUAACUCUAGCCAUUGCUGGAGCUGACUGCUCGCUUGGAGCUGUCCAUGGUGCUGCAACACCUGCCUUGCCCUGUGGACUCCUCUGACUGAUCAGACCAAGACACAAACAUUAAAUAGUUUGUGUAUCCUUAAGAGUGGGCAGCACUCACUUCUUGCUAGAGUUACAUCCAUCUGGCUGGCCAAGUCACAAGUCUGCAGUCCACUUAGUAACUCAUGGACAUUUGGGCAGUUUCCAAAUUGGGGAGCAUAAAUUAUGCAUAUAAAAUGUCAGAAACCAUAAAGCCUUUUAAAGGUAUUCUGGCCAUUUGUUUUAUGUACAAUAAACCAACAUUUAUCUUUAACUGGACAGAGAUUUUACUCCCAUAUGGAAUGAUGACAGUAACAAAUGGCAACACAGUGAAGGGGGGGGGAGACUUUGGGGAAAAAAAUGUCACAGAUGCAUAUAUAUAUAUAUAUAUAUAUAACCUCAAAAUCUCACGUAUGCGAGGGCUUGUCCUUCUGCAAGGUGACACAAUCCUCCAAAGUACACAGAACUAAACUUAGCAGAUCUGUAUCAAGUCAGAAGAUGAGAUUCUAAGCAGUUAAGCAUACUCGUGAGUGGUUUCAUGAGCAAGAUAAUAGGCAGAAUAGCAGCUGAAGCAAGAACAGAUCCUCAGCUGUUGCCAGGGAUAUGACAGAAACCAUUCUCUCUUGUUCCAAACAGGCAGGUAUACUGCCAUCCUAGAUAAGUUAUCUCUGUAUGAAAUUUGCAAUGAAUACACAGAACAGAAUGCACAAGAACCACUGGGAACAUAGCAAGCCUGGUUCGCCCUUGUGCUUGCCCCAAAGGUUGGAGUUGGAAUCUGAAUUAAAUUGUACACAUUGCUUCUGAGCAAUGGACUACUUUGGUUAAUAGGUCUGUUAUGUACACAGUAGGGGCUCACCCAGACAACCUGUUUAUUGAGCAUCCAUCUUGACUUUGUUGUACAAAGCUUGUUGUACAGUCGUCAGACUAUGUCCAGUCUCUAUUGUGCAUUCAUCUUGAUUUGCUUGCAUAGUGCCUAUACAUCUUCCCAUGAAUCAUUUGUUCUUUUCAAUGCAUUCCCCUGUCACUUUCCUAACCAUAAAAAGGCCAGUUGUUGUUUUUAAUAUGGAUUUGUUGUGGUAAGGCAACAGGGAUCUGCAAAACACUGAGCCUGGAGGUGACCUAAUUAUACAUCUAAUUGCACAACCGUGAAAUAAUAUUUUGUAAAUAAUUAUCCCAUUGGGUUCAUAAAGGCUAUGGUACAUAGUCCACAGGAGAGUUACUUUAAACUUCUAUGAAGCACAGGGAAGGGGAACCUGUUGCCUUCCAGAUAUUGUUGGACUACAAGCAUCCCUAACCACUGGCCAUGCUGGCUCAGGCUGAUGGGGUUGGAGUCAAAUAACAUUGGGAGCGACAUGGGUUCCUCAUCACUGCUGUAGUCAAUCUAAUACUCUCUAUAGUUCUAGGACUGUGAAAUAACAAGACUUCAACAUCAGUUUUCUGCAAGAGGAUGGAUAGGUGGACAGACAGACUGGCGGAUGAAUAGAUCAUAGAUUAGAUAGAUAGAUAGAUAGAUAGAUAGAUAGAUAGAUGAUGAUAGGGUGAGAUUAAAUUACAACCACCAGUGUAUCUUAAGAGCACUAGAUGCCUGCAGCCAAAGAGCCUGGCUGGAUAGUUCAAAUCAGUGUGUAAAGUUCAGAGUGUAGCUAGGCAUUUGUAAUCUGGGUGGAAAAAACCCACUGUGGAAGUUCUGAUGCUGCAGUUAGUUGAGAUAUAUGCUUUUCUUUUAAGGACUAAGCUUAAAGAAGAUUGAUGCAGUAGCAGCAGCAAAGCACUGAGAUUCCAUGAGCAUUGUUUUUCUUUCUAAAUGAAUGAGUUUAUGGGCUUUGAGAGAUCCAGAAUUACUGGGAAGAGAAAUCUACUUACAAGUGGAAGAUAAACUUCAUCCUUUCCUAUCCUUUGCAUAAAUUCUUGAAGGCACCUUCUAGGGAGUCAGGAUAUGUGUCUGGUGUCUACAAAGAGUUUGCUGAAGAGAAGUAGAGAACUAGACAGCCACAACUUGUUGUUCGGUGGGAGAAGCCAUGGGCCUCUCUGAGGGUAGCAAAUGUGUCUGGGUUGGACUGGGUCAAGUUGUCAGGGGAGGUAGGCUUGCCAUAUUUCAAAAAGUAAAAACCAGGACACCCCAAAAGUUGAGCUUCCCCACCCCCCAAACACCAGAUGAAAACCAUUUUAAAUGAGAUGGGGAAGUUAGGAAGGAGUGAGAUAUUGAAUGUCCAAAUCUGUAGCCAGAUUUUUUUGCUAUGAGGGCCUAUGGGAAUCAGGACAUAAACGCAAGCAGUCUAAUUUAUUCAAUUGCAUUACAUUAGGGAUGAGGAGCCAGUGGCCCUUCGGAUAUUGAAGCAUUGCAACUGCCAUCACCCUGUCCAUGGACCAUGGGAGUGGUGGGAGUUGAAGUCCAACCAUGUAUUGAGGGCCACAGGUUCCCCAUCCUUGCAUUACAUAUAUUAAAAACAGCCCAGUGUUUGGUACUUAUUGCAGUGAAUUCGCACUCAUUUGCAAGACCAUGAGCGUGGCCAUCUGGCUUAUAUUACAUAAGACAGUUCUCUGUUUAAAGUGUUGCCUGUUCUAAGUUUUGGUUUAAAGAUAACAAACCAUAGGAAGGGACAGAAGUGGGAUUGGACUUGCUCAUUAACAGUUAGCAUGCAGAUCACAUGGUCAUAGUCUUCUGCAGCAAUGUGAGAUGUAUUUUAUUUCCAUUUAAAUUAAUUAUUUCUCUGUCCAUGCACAUUUUAUUGAUACAGUAUGUCUGCCUCUCAUUUUGGGUUUGUGUGUAUGUGUUAUAUUUCCUCAUGUUUGACAAUAUGUAAGUGACUACCCCACAAGACCAUGAACAGUCAGGAGGAAGUUUGCGAAUCAGGGCAGAAUACUGCCUGGACUUUUUCUUGAUCUUCACAACAUCUCUGAGCCAUAGGGAGCAGUGGGUGGGGUGCUCCAGGAGGCUGAGGCAAGCAAGGCCCACAGUCCAGCUCUCUAGCUGGCCAGGUGGGGCUUAUCAGCUCUGGGAGGAGUUGUGUGAUUCCUCAGCUAGAGUAGACUUAGAACAGGUGAAGGUCACAUGUGUCAUCAAGUCCAGAUGCUGAAACCAACAUUCAAAGCAUAAAAGGGCAGCAGAGCUGAGGUGCUGGAUCUGCUCAACUGCCCAUGUUUGAUGGACCUUGACUUAGAUGUUCCUGUACCUCCAUUGGACUGUGCUUCAGUUUUGACUCUGGAUUGUAUCCUCACUGAUGGACUUCAGGCUUGGCUACUUUGAUUGAUCCUGAACUUCAUUUCCUGACCUUUAGACUUCACUUGUGUGGAUCAACCCUCACACUUUGGACUUGGCAUACUGACUUGCUGCCAGAUAGGCCACAGGUUCAGGAUACAAGUUUAGGAGCAAGAAGCUUAUAUAAAUGAAAGCUGAACAUUUAGAGAGGAGCUCAAAAUAUCCCUGAGUGGGUCUCUCUGAAAGUAAAGGCAGCGUGAUAGUGCUAUACUAGCAGAAAAGACUCUGAGUUUAGAGUACAAAACUGGCUAAGACAGGCCAACAUAGAAUUGAAGGGCUGAGUUGAAAUACACCCCCCUGCAUUUAACACCCCAUUCAUAGGUGGUCAAGCAGGGGUUAAGUAAGCAAAAAAAUGGGGGGGAGGGAAUUGAACUAAUCCCCUCCCCUUUUCAACACCCAUUUCAUGGGCGGGUGGGUGUGGAGGAAGAGUUUGUUUUCAAUGAAUUUAUAUAUGGAGUUUGGCAGUUCUGACCCAUUCAAGCUUUGCCCAUAUUGGACUGCCUCUUGCAUUUAAUGCCUGCUUAUUUCCAAGCUGCCUGGGCAAAUAUUUAAAAUAAAAAAGUCCGAACAAAAAUAUGCAAAAUUAAAUGCAAAAACUUAUAUUAUAGGUAUGAUACAUAUAAAAGAGUAAAGCAUCAUGCAGUACUAUAUUGUCAUCAUAAUUUUACAUGUUAAUGUGUAUUUUUAUACAUGUAUAUGCAUUGUUGCAUGCCUCUGUUUGUGUGCCGAUUCCUUAUAGGAAAUCUGGAGUUUGUAUGGAUAUUAUAUGCAUGUAAUUAUAUACAGUAUUAUAAAGCAUAUAAUAUGUGAGGAAUUAUUUUUCUCUUGUUUUUGGUGGAACUGGCAAAAACAACCCUUGCUUCUUAUUGGGAUCAAGGAGGGAGAUGGGGAGUUUGGGGUAGAAUCUGUGGGGAUAAGCUCAACACUGAGAUUUUCAGAAAAAUUCCAUCCCUACACACAGAUCUGGGGGAAGAAAAUGGUGAAAGAAUAUGGAACAGGAUAUUGUGGAUUUGGUACAAACAGAGGAGGAUGCAUGGCAAGAUUUCUCCAGAUUGCCUUCAGUCAUUGCAUUUUUAAAAAGAAGCCUGUAGGCAAAUUAUUUUACAAAUACGUGUCAAACUGCAACAGAUGCCCAUGGGAAAUGUGUGUUUCUUCUGAUCACAUGUAUGUAGGGACAGACAGAUCAGUUUUGUUUCUGUAAGCUUCUCAUUUCUCCAAUCUUCCAUUCAGUUCUCCACAUUUCUGUAGGAGUUCAUGAAUUCCUUCCCUACCAAAUAAUAAGAAUAAAUAAAUAAUUUUCUCAUGUAAACUGAGCAGCAUUUUAGUGUGAAUUUCUCCUAAUAAAUCCAGCUUUGAUUGCAUUUUUGGCUACGCAAAUUUUUGCAAGCAUUCCCCCCCCCCCACUAUAAUGCAUUUUUGCAUGUUAUUUUCUCUAAUAGCUUUUAUUUUUGUGCAUAUUUCCCUCUAAAACGUGAUUUUGGGGUAGAAAACUGCAAAAUUCAGAGAAGUGCUAAUUUCAAAUGUUUCGGAUUGCACAUUGUUUCAGAAGGUGCAAACUAGGUAGCUUCUUAUUAAGAUGCGAACAAAAUUGAAUCCUCCUCCAUCCCAGCAUGUGUUACAUGUGCAGAGACGUUUGGGUUCUCUGCCAUGUGUACACUCAGAAGCAAAACCACAUUUGCCACUGAGUAACCUGUGAAGUGUCCCUCUGAGCUAAGAAGGAAGGCAAAAGAAAGGCUGCCAAAAGCCACCCCGAUUCUCCGAGGGUUGCUUCACAGCGAGCUCUCUGCUGAUUGCUGUUUAAUCAACUAUUUAAAAUCCUGCUCUGAGACUUUCAUCAAUUCCCAAAUCCCUGAGACUGAAAGGAAAAGAAAUUAAAGCGGAAAGAGAAAUCUCUGCAGAGUCCGAGCUGUGUGUAAAUGUGACCUACUUACAUGGCUGUGGUCCCGCCACGAGGCAGCGAGGGACACGGUGUGCCCACGCAGCACCCCAACUCAAACACCGGAAGAAGGCCUGAGGGGGGAGGGGAGGAGCUGUUCUCCUCCUGCGAUUUGACGGAGUUCUUUUUUAGUUUUGGCAUCCUCUCACAUCACAGGCAGAGGAGGAGUGAGGGCUCCAAAGGGAUUAGUAAAGAUUUAUUUUUUCUUUUUCCGGAGUGAGAUGAAAGAGGAAGGCGAGGAGGGGAAGGGGGGUGGAGAGCCAAAAUGAAGAACAAGGAUUCCUAGCAAAAGAACCUCAUUAUUCUUCAUCUUUUCCAAUGACCUUGUUUGUUUUAUUCUUGCUUGAAAGUGGUUACUUCUGAUGCUAAAGUUUAAAGACAUCUGCAGACUCUGGCAAGGAAGGAAGGGAAUGAAAGUAAGGAUUAGGUGAAGAAGUGAAAAAAAUCUGUCUCAGUACCUUUUGAAAAAAGAUUCCCCCCCCUUCUCCAUUGAAUGUGCAACAUACCUUGAUCUCAAAGGAGCCAUUGCUCUGUGGAUGCUGAAUGGAGCAUAGAAUCAUAGUGAAGUGGUACCUUGGGUUAAGAACUUAAUUCGUUCCGGAGGUCCGUUCUUAACUUGAAACUGUUCUUAACCUGAGGUACCACUUUAGCUAAUGGGGCCUCCCACUGUUGCUGCCCCGCCACCGCACAAUUUCUUUUCUUAUCCUGAAGCAAAGUUCUUAACCUGAGGUACUAUUUCGGGGUUAGUGGAGUCUGUAACUUGAAGCGUCUGUAACCCGAGCUACUGUGUAUUGUGGAGUUUGAAGGGACCCCAAGGGUCAUCUUUUAUAGCCCCCUGCAAUGCAGGAAUCUCAGCUAAAGCAUCCAUGACAGAUGGCCAUCCAACCUCUGUUUAAAAACUCCAAGGAAGGAGAGACUAAAAUCUUCCACGGGAGUUUGUUCCACUGUCAAACAACUCCUCCUGUCAGUCCUAGGGAUGUUGACUCCGAAGCAAGCCCUACACGUAUGCUCUAAAGUAUGUGCACAUAAAAUUGAAACUUUACAGCUUGAUUCUACAUAAACUCAGUGAAGCCUAUCAAGUGUGCAUAAGGGCUGCCUGCUCCCCAUUUCACCAAGCUGUGAGGAGUUCCAGGGGCAGGACUGGAAGUUCAGCUUCAUUCGGAGAUGAGUACACUGGAGGCUUCUGGCAUUUUGUAGUCUUGCCACAUGUCCUCUUUUUCCAGGACACAUCCUCUCUUUCAUGAGGAGUCAUCAUCCAUAGUUAAAAGUAAAAAAGGUAAAGGGACCCCUGACCGUUAAGUCCAGUCGUGAACGACUCUAGGGUUGCGAUGCUCAUCUCGCUUUACUGGCUGAGGGCGCCGGCGUACAGCUUCUGGGUCAUGUGGCCAGCAUGACUAAGCCACUUCUGGCAAACCAGAGCAGCACCAGAGCGGUACCUAUUUAUCUACUUGCACGUUUGACAUGCUUUCAAACUGCUAGGUUGGCAGGAGCAGGGACCGAGCAAAGGGAGCUCACCCCAUCGCAGGGAUUCGAACUGCCGACCUUCUGAUCAGCAAGCCCUAGGCUCUGUGGUUUAACCCACAGCGCCACCUGCGUCCCAUAGUUAAAAGUAGAAGUCAGCAAAUGUGUCCUCUUUUUUGCUCUUCAAAAUGCGUCAGCCCUAGAUAGAAAAGGAAUUUGAUUUGGUUUGCAUUUAAAGGGGAACCUACUUUUCUGAUUCAAUCUGCCAGGAGUGGGGAACCUUUUUGGUCCAGCAGACCUGAUUGCUAUCUGACCCCAACUCCAUGGGCCAACUUGGACAGGUGCGUGAGACAACCAACUCUGUCACCAGACAUCUUGGGACAUCAGAUGAUUGACAGGGGGUUGUCCAGCCCACCUGCCAAAGUCCCUUGUGCAGCAUUUCUCAACAGUCAGCUGGUUGUAAGGCACUUUGGAGUUGUAGUGCAAGGGUUUUGCCAGCCCAGGUGCUCAGCAAAGCUGAUUUCUGCAGGGACUGGCUGCAAGAUCAAGUGCUUCAAGAGUUUAACCCCCCACCCAUCAGGUAACAGGUGGUGAUUCAACCCUGCUUGCUGCAGGGAUCAGCUGUGCAAUUGGAUUCCCCAAGGGGGAGCUAAGUCACGCAGCUGAUCCAGCCACAUCUCUUCCUGCCCCCACACUCAAAGUCACAAAGGUCAGACAUGCUGAGCAUGGUUUUGGUUAAACAGCUUGUGGGUCAACUUGGGACCUGUGCAUGAGGUUCCCCAAGCCUGCAACACGCCAUUCGAAACAUAGCCAUCCUGUGAAAUUCACCCUUCUCCAAGUUUUGUAGCUUCCCAGCAAGCAGAACAUGCACAAAAAUGCACACGCUAAGCUAAAAUGUGCAUAAGAUAGAAAUAUUGUGAAAAUAAUAUAAAACGAGAUGGAUCAGGGAAGACGGCUCUGUAAAAAUGUUUAUAUCUACAGGGAAAACUGCAUACGAAAUGUGCAUAUUAGGAGGAAUUCACACUAAAAUGCUCUUUAAAAAAUAAAUAAAUCACAAACUGGUGUGGAAAUGUGGAGAACUGAACUUAAGACUGGAAAAAUGAGAAACUGAGGGAAACUGAAAUUGGCAGAUAUGUCAAUCCCUAGUGGAAGUGAACUGAAUACAUACUCCUAGCAGACGAUCAAUCUGCUGCUCCAUAGCAGACUUCUAGAGAAAGCAGCCCCAAGAUCCUUUCCACAUUCAGCUUACUCUGUCUUUUUUUAAAAAAAACCAAAACUUCACCUUUUUCUUUAUACACAUACAUGUGGGUGUGCGCAUGCACACACACAAGAUCUACCUCAUCAUAGCUUAUUUUACCUUCUAGAAUGAUCCCCAACUAUUCCCUAGCCAUUAGCUCCCACUGAAAACACAUCAGCUAACUACACUGAGCCAUUAAUUUGAAAUUCACUUAAGAAAAUAGGUGGCCAGUUAGUAUGGUCAGUAUCUUAACCAAUAGGGCUGCAGCUGUAAUGUGACACGUCUGCUAUCUGCAUGUGGAGCCCUGUGGUGUGUGUAAGUUAACCACUGGGGACCAAUGGGUGACUGGAUGUUGGAAUAGACAGCCUCAUGGUUCUUUUCAGUGAUUCUUUCACAGGCAGUGAAAUGUCUGGAGCUGCCCCUUAGUGUGUGUUGUGCAGGGGGAUGGAUAUUUACUGGAUGUCAAACAAUCAUGUAAUGCACAUUAACAAUGUGGGCAGAAGUUGCCACAAAAGAACAUGCUGGGAAGAUCAAGAUUUUAUCAUCAAACUGGCUUUGAAUCUUCUUCUGUAUCUUCUUAGACAGCUCUUCUGAUUGAGUCCACAGUUCACUUUUGCAGCAACUCGAUGAAGUCUGGCAUUUAACCUGCAGACAGAAAGAAAAAAGAAUCUAAGCCCACCCAAAGAUGAAAAGCCUGAAUAUAAAAAAGAGGAGACCUCUAAAAAUGAAAAUGAAAAUCAAAUGUACAACCUCUGCUGGCAUCUCACAAUGAUCUACUAGCC
Molecule: non-coding RNA, 10584 nt
Organism: Podarcis lilfordi (Lilford's wall lizard)
Lineage: Eukaryota; Metazoa; Chordata; Lepidosauria; Squamata; Lacertidae
Source: the annotation of a GenBank genome assembly